GAUGAACGCUGGCGGCGUGCCUAAUACAUGCAAGUCGAGCGAACAGACGAGGAGCUUGCUCCUCUGACGUUAGCGGCGGACGGGUGAGUAACACGUGGAUAACCUACCUAUAAGACUGGGAUAACUUCGGGAAACCGGAGCUAAUACCGGAUAAUAUAUUGAACCGCAUGGUUCAAUAGUGAAAGACGGUUUUGCUGUCACUUAUAGAUGGAUCCGCGCCGCAUUAGCUAGUUGGUAAGGUAACGGCUUACCAAGGCAACGAUGCGUAGCCGACCUGAGAGGGGGAUCGGCCACACUAGAACUGAGACACGGUCCAGACUCCUAAGGGAGGCAGCAGUAGGGAAUCUUACGCAAUGGGCGAAAGCCUGACGGAGCAACGCCGCGUGAGUGAUGAAGGUCUUCGGAUCGUAAAACUCUGUUAUUAGGGAAGAACAAAUGUGUAAGUAACUAUGCACGUCUUGACGGUACCUAAUCAGAAAGCCACGGCUAACUACGUG
Molecule: ribosomal RNA, 497 nt
Filed under: uncultured bacterium
Lineage: Bacteria
Description: partial 16S ribosomal RNA
Rfam family: Bacterial small subunit ribosomal RNA
Source: RNAcentral